GUGCCAGCAGCCGCGGUAAGACAGAGGAGGCAAGCGUUGUCCGGACUUACUGGGCGUAAAGCGUCCGCAGGUGGUCGUGCAAGUGCCGUGUGAAAGCGCUCGGCUUAACUGAGCGAGGCCAGGGCAGACUGCACAACUCGAGGUCGGGAGAGGUCGGUGGAAUUGCCGGUGUAGUGGUGAAAUGCGUAGAGAUCGGCAGGAACACCCAAGGGGAAGCCAGCCGACUGGCCCGCACCUGACACUCAGGGACGACAGCGUGGGGAGCGAACCGGAUUAGAUACCCUCGUAGUCC
RNAcentral lists this ribosomal RNA (292 nucleotides) under uncultured bacterium. RNAcentral's name for it is "partial 16S ribosomal RNA". It matches the Rfam family "Bacterial small subunit ribosomal RNA", at positions 505 to 796 of the family's 1533-position model. The record is from RNAcentral.